This 462-nucleotide ribosomal RNA is filed under the name uncultured bacterium. RNAcentral's name for it is "partial 16S ribosomal RNA". It matches the Rfam family "Bacterial small subunit ribosomal RNA", at positions 28 to 507 of the family's 1533-position model. The record is from RNAcentral.
GAUAAACGCUGGCGGCGUGCUUAACACAUGCAAGUCGAACGAAGUUUUUCCUUCGGGAGAAACUUAGUGGCGGACGGGUGAGUAACGCGUGGGUAGCCUGCCCUGUACAGGGGGACAACAGCUGUAAACGGCUGCUAAUACCGCAUAAGCCCUUAGCACUGCAUGGUGCGUAGGGAAAAGGAGCAAUCCGGUACAGGAUGGACCCGCGUCUGAUUAGCCAGUUGGCAGGGUAACGGCCUACCAAAGCGACGAUCAGUAGCCGAUCUGAGAGGAUGUACGGCCACAUUGGGACUGAGACACGGCCCAGACUCCUACGGGAGGCAGCAGUGGGGAAUAUUGCACAAUGGAGGAAACUCUGAUGCAGCGACGCCGCGUGAGUGAAGAAGUAUUUCGGUAUGUAAAGCUCUAUCAGCAGGGAAGAAAAUGACGGUACCUGACUAAGAAGCACCGGCUAAAUACGUG